GAUGAACGCUGGCGGCGUGCCUAAUACAUGCAAGUCGAGCGAACAGACGAGGAGCUUGCUCCUCUGACGUUAGCGGCGGACGGGUGAGUAACACGUGGAUAACCUACCUAUAAGACUGGGAUAACUUCGGGAAACCGGAGCUAAUACCGGAUAAUAUAUUGAACCGCAUGGUUCAAUAGUGAAAGACGGUUUUGCUGUUACUUAUAGAUGGAUCCGCGCCGCAUUAGCUAGUUGGUAAGGUAACGGCUUACCAAGGCAACGAUGCGUAGCCGACCUGAGAGGGUGAUCGGCCACACUGGAACUGAGACACGGUCCAGACUCCUACGGGAGGCAGCAGUAGGGAAUCUGCCGCAAUGGGCGAAAGCCUGACGGAGCAACGCCGCGUGAGUGAUGAAGGUCUUCGGAUCGUAAAACUCUGUUAUUAGGGAAGAACAAAUGUGUAAGUAACUAUGCACGUCUUGACGGUACCUAAUCAGAAAGCCACGGCUAACUACGUG
RNAcentral lists this ribosomal RNA (497 nucleotides) under uncultured bacterium. RNAcentral's name for it is "partial 16S ribosomal RNA". It matches the Rfam family "Bacterial small subunit ribosomal RNA", at positions 28 to 507 of the family's 1533-position model. The record is from RNAcentral.